Molecule: ribosomal RNA, 287 nt
Filed under: uncultured Bacteroidota bacterium
Lineage: Bacteria; Pseudomonadati; Bacteroidota
Description: uncultured Bacteroidetes bacterium partial 16S ribosomal RNA
Rfam family: Bacterial small subunit ribosomal RNA
Source: RNAcentral
GAUGAACGCUAGCGGGAGGCUUAACACAUGCAAGUCGAGGGGCAGCACGAGGUAGCAAUACUUUGGUGGCGACCGGCGCACGGGUGAGUAACGCGUAUGCAACCUACCCUGUACAGGGGCAUAGCCCGGAGAAAUCCGGAUUAAUACCCCAUAAAGAUAUGAGAUGGCAUCAUUUUAUAUUUAAAGUUCCAACGGUACGGGAUGGGCAUGCGUAACAUUAGCUAGUUGGUAGGGUAACGGCCUACCAAGGCUGCGAUGUUUAGGGGUCCUGAGAGGGUGAUCCCCCA